Molecule: ribosomal RNA, 511 nt
Filed under: uncultured bacterium
Lineage: Bacteria
Description: bacterial SSU rRNA
Rfam family: Bacterial small subunit ribosomal RNA
Source: RNAcentral
GACGAACGCUGGCGGCGUGCUUAACACAUGCAAGUCGAACGAGAAAGGCUCUUCGGAGCUGAGUACAGUGGCGAACGGGUGAGUAACACGUGGGCAACCUGCCCUAGGGAGCGGGACAACUCGGGGAAACUCGAGCUAAUACCGCAUGAUUCGUAGUGCCUCAAGGCUCUACGGGAAAUGGUAGCUUCGGCCUCCGCCCUGGGAUGGGCCCGCGGCGCAUUAGCUUGUUGGUGAGGUAACGGCUCACCAAGGCGACGAUGCGUAGCUGGUCUGAGAGGACGAUCAGCCACACUGGGACUGAGACACGGCCCAGACUCCUACGGGAGGCAGCAGUGGGGAAUCUUGCGCAAUGGGCGGAAGCCUGACGCAGCAACGCCGCGUGUGGGAAGACGGCCUUCGGGUUGUAAACCACUUUCAGGGGGGACGAAGCUUCCGAGGUUAAUAGCCUACGGGGUGACGGUACCCCCAGAAGAAGCCCCGGCUAACUACGUGCCAGCAGCCGCAGUAAAAC